AUUGAACGCUGGCGGCAUGCCUUACACAUGCAAGUCGAACGGUAACAGGUCUUCGGAUGCUGACGAGUGGCGAACGGGUGAGUAAUACAUCGGAACGUGCCUAAUAGUGGGGGAUAACUACUCGAAAGAGUGGCUAAUACCGCAUGAGAUCUACGGAUGAAAGCAGGGGGUCGAAAGACGUUGUGCUCCGAGAGCGGCCGGUGGCAGAUAAGGUAGUUGGUGGGAUAAAAGCUUACCAAGCCGACGAUCUGUAGCUGGUCUGAGAGGACGAACAGCAACACUGGGACUGAGACACGGCCCAGACUCCUACGGGAGGCAGCAGUGGGGAAUUUUGGACAAUGGGCGAAAGCCUGAUCCAGCAAUGCCGCGUGCAGGAUGAAGGCCUUCGGGUUGUAAACUGCUUUUGUACGGAACGAAAAGCCCUGGGUUAAUACCCUGGGGUCAUGAAGGUACCGUAAGAAUAAGCACCGGCUAACUACGUGCCAGCCGCCGCCGUAA
RNAcentral lists this ribosomal RNA (498 nucleotides) under uncultured bacterium. RNAcentral describes it as "partial 16S ribosomal RNA". It matches the Rfam family "Bacterial small subunit ribosomal RNA", at positions 30 to 523 of the family's 1533-position model. The record is from RNAcentral.